This is a long non-coding RNA of Carassius auratus (goldfish), 7022 nucleotides long. NCBI's taxonomy places the organism in Eukaryota, Metazoa, Chordata, Actinopteri, Cypriniformes, Cyprinidae. The record is from Ensembl.
UGUUUGUCGUCCACAAUCCUCCUCGCAGGAGAAGACGGAGCAGAGACGAACCUCCUCUGAGUGAGUCUGUACUUACAUGAAUAAAUAUAUAUAUAUAGGGAUGUAGAGUGUAUUAAAAAUAUGGGCAAUUAUUCCUUAUUAAAACAGAAGUGGUGAAUUCAACCUCUUAGUGGUGGAUUCUGGUCAUUUUGAUCUGUGAUGCUGGAGUUAGAUCAGGAUCUUGUUACAGAUCACAUGUGUUACUGUACGAUGUGAGGACUGUGAACACUGAGUGUCUGGUUUGACUGUUUGCAGUGAGGAUUGUUGUUCUGGGGAAGAGUGUGUCUGAAAAUAGUCUGGUGGGGAACUUGAUCUUAGGACGAGCAGCGUUUGACAGUGAAUCUCCUCCAGAUGUUGCUAGAGAGAGUCGGAGGAAGACUGAAGGACAGACACCUGAUCAUCAUCAACAGUCCUCAGCUUCUCCAGAGGAACAUCUCAGAUCAGCAGAUCACACACACAGUGAGAGAGUGUGUGUUUUUUCUCUGAUCCAGGGCCUCAUAUCUUCAUACUAGCACUGCAGUAUAAAGACUUCACUAAGAAGGACUUGAGAAGAGUGAAAUAUGUGCUGGAAACAUUCAGUGAAGAGGCCAUUAAACACACCAUGGUGCUAACGACUGAUGACGAGACUGAUAAAAUGGGCAUCUGUGAAAGCUAAUGAAUUAAUUCAACAAUUAACUGCAGAAUGUGGAGGAGGACAUGUUCAAUUUAAUAACGAAAUAGAGGAAUGGUGCUCUGUAAUAUCAGAACGACUGGAGAAGAUACUUGGAGAAAACCAUGGAGAAUUUCUUACAUGUGAAAUAUUUUACGAUGCAGAAGAAACACUGCACUGCUGGAUGAAGAUCAGAGCAGAUCUUUAGCUUCACUCAGAAUGAAGAAGGAAGAUUCUGAUGGUGUAAGUGUCACCAGAGAAGAGAAGCUGAACUUGGUGUUGUGUGGAAGUGAUGAAAACCUGAAGAAAUCCUUAUUAAAACUAAUAGAAGAGAAGAGGAGAGAUGUGGAUCUUCAUGAUCGUCAGAUCAGUGUGAUAGAGCUUCCAGCUCUGACUGGUCUCUCAAUAGAGGAAGUGAUGUGUCAGUCUCUCCGCUGUGUGUCUCUCGGUCAUCCUGGAGUUCAUGUUUUCAUCCUCAUUAUUCCUGACGCUCCUCUCAAUAAUGAAGACAGAGCAGAAACAGAGAAGAUCCAGAAGAUCUUCAGCUCCAGAAUCAACAAACACAUCCUGAUCCUCAUAAAGCAGAGCUCAGAGCGUCAGACAGAAGAACUCAGUGAAGAAACACAGUCUGUCAUUCAGAGGUUCGGAGGAAGACAUCAGCUCUUUGGUCCCAAAACACAGGUGUCCACAUUGAUGGAGAACAUUGAGCAGAUGCUGGAAGAAAACAGAGGAGAGUGUUUCUCCACAGAGAUGUUUCUGGAGACACAGAUGAAGAAACUGAUGAAAUAUGAAGAGAUGAAGAAGAAAACUGACUCAUUAGAGACACAUUUACUCUGUUCAUUCUCAUUCAAAGAGAGAAUGAACAGAGAACGAGAAGAAGAGAUGAAGAAACAUGAAAAAGAGAAAGAGAGCAUGAAGAUGAUGAUGGAGGAAGAACGACAGAAUCAGGAUAAAGAGAGAAAGAAAAGAGAAGAGGAACUGAGAGAAAGAGAGGAGGAGAUGGAGAAACUGAACAGAGAAAGAGAGGAAGAGAUGGAGAAACUGAUGAGAGAAAGAGAGCAAGAGAUGGAGAAACUGAACAGAGAAAGAGAGGAAGAGAUGGAGAAACUGAAGAGAGACAGAGAGGAGGAGAUGGAGAAACUGAACAGAAAAAGAGAGGAAGAGAUGGAGAAACUGAACAGAGAAAGAGAGGAGGAGAUGGAGAAACUGAAGAAAGAAAGAGAGCAAGAGAUGGAGAAACUGAAGAGAGAAAGAGAGCAAGAGAUGGAGAAACUGAAGAGAGAAAGAGAGGAGGAGAUGAAGAAACACGAAGAGGAGAAAGAGAGAGUGAAAAGAGAAAGAGAGGAAGAGAUGAAGAAACAUGAAGAGGAGAAAGAGAGAAUGAACAGAGAAAGAGAGGAAGAGAUGAAGAAAUACGAAGAGGAGAAAGAGAGAAUGACCAGAGAAAGAGAAGAAGAGAUGAAGAAAUACGAAGAGGAGAAAGAGAGAAUGAAGAGAGAAAGAGAGGAAGAGAAGAAGAAACUGGAAGAGGAGAAAGAGAGAAUGAACAGAGAACGAGAAGAAGAGGUGAAGAAAUAUGAAGAGGAGAAAGAGAGAAUGAACAGAGAAAGAGAGGAAGAGAUGAAGAAACACGAAGAAGAGAAAGAGAGAAUGAACAGAGAAAGAGAGGAAGAGAUGAAGAAACACGAAGAAGAGAAAGAGAGAAUGAACAGAGAAGAGAGGAAGAGAUGAAGAAAUAUGAAGAGGAGAAAGAGAGAAUGAACAGAGAAAGAGAGGAAGAGAUGAAGAAAUAUGAAGAGGAGAAAGAGAGAAUGAACAGAGAAAGAGAGGAAGAGAUGAAGAAACACGAAGAAGAGAAAGAGAGAAUGAACAGAGAAAGAGAGGAAGAGAUGAAGAAACACGAAGAAGAGAAAGAGAGAAUGAACAGAGAACGAGAAGAAAAGGUGAAGAAAUAUGAAGAGGAGAAAGAGAGAAUGAACAGAGAAAGAGAGGAAGAGAUGAAGAAACACGAAGAAGAGAAAGAGAGAAUGAACAGAGAAAGAGAGGAAGAGAUGAAGAAACACGAAGAAGAGAAAGAGAGAAUGAACAGAGAAAGAGAAGAAGAGAUGAAGAAACUGGAAGAGGAGAAAGAGAGAAUGAACAGAGAAAGAGAGGAAGAGAUGAAGAAACAAGAAGAGGAGAAAGAGAGAAUGAACAGAGAAAGAGAGGAAGAGAUGAAGAAACAAGAAGAGGAGAAAGAGAGAAUGAACAGAGAAAGAGAGGAAGAGAUGAAGAAACAAGAAGAGGAGAAAGAGAGAAUGAACAGAGAAAGAGAGGAAGAGAUGAAGAAACACGAAGAGGAGAAAGAGAGAAUGAACAGAGAAAGAGAAGAAGAGAUGAAGAAACUGGAAGAGGAGAAAGAGAGAAUGAACAGAGAAAGAGAGGAAGAGAUGAAGAAACAAGAAGAGGAGAAAGAGAGAAUGAACAGAGAAAGAGAGGAAGAGAUGAAGAAACAAGAAGAGGAGAAAGAGAGAAUGAACAGAGAAAAGAGAGGAAGAGAUGAAGAAACAAGAAGAGGAGAAAGAGAGAAUGAACAGAGAAAGAGAGGACGAGAUGAAGAAACUGGAAGAGGAGAAAGAGAGAAUGAACAGAGAACGAGAGGACGAGAUGAAGAAACACGAAGAGGAGAAAGAGAGAAUGAACAGAGAACGAGAAGAAGAGAUGAAGAAACAUGAAAAAGAGAAAGAGAGCAUGAAGAUGAUGAUGGAGGAAGAACGACAGAAUCAGGAUAAAGAGAGAAAGAAAAGAGAAGAGGAACUGAGAGAAAGAGAAGAACGAUCUAAAAGAGAAAUGAAGGAACAGGAGGAGCAGAUGAGAGAAGAAAUGAAAAGUGUGAAAGAGGAGUAUAAAAAUGAAAUAAAGGAAAUGAAGAAAGAAAUUGAGAUUAUAAAGAAAGAAAAAGAAAAUCUUCAGAUCAGGUAUGACACAGAAACAGACAGAAUGAUGAACAGAAUAGAGAAAGAACGACAGAAUCAUGAAUCAGAGAAAAGGAGAAGAGAAAAAGAGUUUAAUGACAGAGAUGAGAGAUAUAAAAGAGAAAUGAAGGAACAAGAGCAGAUGAGAGACGAGAUGAAAAGAGAAAGAGAGAUGAUUAAAGAUGAAAUGAGUCAAGAAAAAGAGACUGUGAAGAAAGAAAAAGAAAAACUACAGAUAGAAAUAUAUAGACUGAUGAACAGAAUAGAGAAUGAACGACAGAACCAUGAAUCAGAGAGAAAGAGAAGAGAAGAAGAGUUUAAUGAGAGACAAGAGAGAUAUAAAACACUAAUAACAGAGAAAGAGAGAGAGAUGAAAGAGGAGAUGAAGAGAGAACGAGAGGAAUGGGAGAAACAGAAACAAGAGGAAAAGAGGAGAAGAGAAGAAGAGGAUGAGAGAAAACGAGUGCAGUGGAGAGAGGAACAUGAGAGAGAGAGAGAGAAGAUGAUGAUGAAGAUCUGCUCUGAAACUGAUCCUUCACUGAAGGUGAGUCUUCAAGACUUUCAUGUUUGUUCUGUCAGUAAUCACACUUUUAAUAUUAAUAUUAUCACACAAAAAUCAACAAUUAAAGUUAUUUUUACUGAAUGAUGUGUUCAACUCCAAAAGGUCUCAGCUUACAGGAAACUGGAGACAGAAUACAGGAAGUGGUGCUGGAGUCUGCGCUGUGCCAUGAUGGAAACUGAGAACAAACUACACAACCAAAUAGAAAUGAAGCAAUUUAUGAGAUUGAAGAACAGGAUCUUCACAGAGAACUGAAGAAGACGAGUGAAGAAGUGGAGAAAUCAAUGUCUGAAUUCUUUGAGAAAGACCGAGAUAAAGAUAUACUGAUUCAGUGGAAAACAUCAUUUGAAAUCAAAAUCAGAGAUCAUCAGGAAAACAUUGUGAGCAAAACAAAGAGGAAAUUAAAUGAGAUUCUUCAGCAGCGAGACCUGAAGAAAAAGAUUGAUGCUCAGAGAAUACAUCAUGAAAACACUCUCUAUGAAAAGAGCAAACAACUCGCCUUAAAACUCAGAGACAGAAGAAAUGAUGAAGAAACACUGAAGAAAGAGUUUGAUGUGUUCUGGGAACAGAGUGUGAAGAAGAUCAUCAGAGAUGCUCCAACGAUCAGAGACAUUGAUAUAAUGAGAGACGUGAGAGAAAUACUCAGUGACAGCUAUAAAAGUGUUUCUGUAGAUCACUGGAGAGAGAAAAUAUCACUGCUCUCUGUGCAGAGUUAUUCAGAAUAUGUGAGGGUUAAGAGAUCCAGUGAAUUUACAGGAGCUUAUAAAAAUGCCAUCAGAUUAGCUUUUGGUUAUAUUCUGUCUCCAGAGGAUGAAUCUCAGAUCAGAUCAUUAGUCACAGAUGUUGUUCAGCAGACAGACAGAAUGAUUCAGACAUUUAACAUUUCAAAGAUGGGCUACAACAUCAUCUGCAUUCAACAAAUCACAGAUUACAUCAGAGCAAGAGUAACACAACAUGAGGAAGAACAAGUGAGAUAUGUGUUCAAGAAUGAGUUCUUCAUGGAUUUGGUUCUGUCCAUCUGUGAGAGAGCAAACAAGAAGAUCACUGAGCAACACACACUGUUCAGAGAAGACAAUGAUCCUGUUUUCUAUUUGGAGAAGAAGAGAGAAGAGUACUUUAGUUUUUUUCCAGAAAAACUGUCAUGGAUCCGCAUCAGCUGCUAUGUUUGGAGAGAUCCUCUGUCAGAAACUGAAAGAGCCGAUUGAACAGAGCGUCUACAAGAGAACUGCCAGAGAUUUAGCAGAUGAAAUGAGAUCAAACUGUGAACCACUGAAUGGAGACAGAUCACAUCUGGAGAAACACAUCCUGAAGACACUGGCAGAAGAGGAGGAUUUCAACAAAUACAUGAACUACAUUCAUCAUCCCAGAGAUCACUUCAAGAGUUUCAUCAGAGAUGAAGUCAGUCGGUACAUCACUGAUCAGUUCAGUCUCAGUGUUUUACCCAAGAUGAAGGAGAACAUUAAACUCCUGGAGCAGAAGAUCAUGAGAGCAGCUCAUCAAUCUACCGAACGUGUUAAAGAGAACAGAGAUGAAUCUACUGAACGUGUUCAAGAGAACAGAGGAGAUGUUGGUUUGUGGUUGAAGAGUUUCACACGGCAGAUCUCAGAUGAUCUGAUCUUCUCUGAGAAACACCUCAGUGGAGUCAAACAUGAUGAUGUUGAUGAUAUCAAUCUCCUAGAAGAUGUGAUAAAGAGAGAACUUCCUGCUAUAAUAUCUGAGAUCAGCAGGAGAUUAAACACAGAGUCAUUUCCUCUGAAACUGGACUAUAAGUUCAGACCAGAUGGGGUUCAGAUAGACCUCUUCUGUCAGUGCUGUUGGGUUCAGUGUCCGUUCUGUGGAGCCACCUGCACAAACACCACAGAAGACCAUCCUGGAGAUCACAGUGUUCCUCUCCACAGAGUGACUGGAGUUAAUGGACAUUUCUACAGAGGAACAACAAACUUGUGUAUUAACAUCUGCACAUCAGAUGUAGCAAGUGAUCAAUGUUUUUAUCUCGAUGGAUCAGAUGAUAGAGUCCUCUAUAGAGAGUACAGAAGAGCAGGAGGAGAUUAUGAGAAGUGGAGCAUCACUCCUGAUCUCUCUGAACUGAUCUACUGGAAGUGGUUUGUGUGCAGAUUCAACAGAGAUCUGGAGAAAUACUACAGGAAAACAUUCGAGUGGAGUGGAGAGAUACCAGAGGAAUGGAGGACAUACACAAAACAUGAAGCCCUUGAGAGUUUGGAGAAAUACUUUUAAAAUAUAUAAACUUAUAAAGCAAAACAACACUCUUUUAGACAGUUACAGAACAAUAUAAAUAUGCUGUUCCAAGGGGAAAAGAUGUAGUUCCUUCAAUCUGUUUUAUGUAAGAAAUUAUAGCUAGGAAUGUAUUUAUAAUAAAUCAGAUUUUAUUCACUAUACCUGGCAAACCUCAACAUCAUUUUGUGAAGUAAUGGAGAUUCUGUGCUGUAGAUUUCACAUACAAAUAUUAACAACAAAUAAACACUGUUCAGCUAAUUAUAAAUAACAUUUGAAUGAUUUAACAUUACAGCUUAUUUAGAAUUUAAUCGCACCAUGUCUAAUAAUCUUCAAAUAAAUCCUGUAAUCUUAUUUGGCUGGUAUUACAUUGUGUUUUCCAGGAAUAAUUUCCGAUCUGAAGUGUUUCUAUGUUAUAUUAUACAGUAAUGUUUGCAUCACACGAUCAGUUGUGUGUCUGUUGAUUGUGUGAUCAUCUGUUCACAUUUUCUUAAUAAAGGCUUCUCCAACAUUCAGCCCAAAUACAAUACAAUACAUUUGAAUUCAUUUACUAGAAGACAAAAAAUAAAUAAUAAACAGUAAAUAAUAA